Molecule: ribosomal RNA, 497 nt
Filed under: uncultured bacterium
Lineage: Bacteria
Description: partial 16S ribosomal RNA
Rfam family: Bacterial small subunit ribosomal RNA
Source: RNAcentral
GAUGAACGCUGGCGGCGUGCCUAAUACAUGCAAGUCGAGCGAACAGACGAGGAGCUUGCUCCUCUGACGUUAGCGGCGGACGGGGGAGUAACACGUGGAUAACCUCCCUAUAAGACUGGGAUAACUUCGGGAAACCGGAGCUAAUACCGGAUAAUAUAUUGAACCGCAUGGUUCAAUAGUGAAAGACGGUUUUGCUGUCACUUAUAGAUGGAUCCGCGCCGCAUUAGCUAGUUGGUAAGGUAACGGCUUACCAAGGCAACGAUGCGUAGCCGACCUGAGAGGGUGAUCGGCCACACUGGAACUGAGACACGGUCCAGACUCCUACGGGAGGCAGCAGUAGGGAAUCUUCCGCAAUGGGCGAAAGCCUGACGGAGCAACGCCGCGUGAGUGAUGAAGGUCUUCGGAUCGUAAAACUCUGUUAUUAGGGAAGAACAAAUGUGUAAGUAACUAUGCACGUCUUGACGGUACCUAAUCAGAAAGCCACGGCUAACUACGUG